RNAcentral lists this ribosomal RNA (196 nucleotides) under uncultured Vibrio sp. Its description in RNAcentral is "partial 16S ribosomal RNA". It matches the Rfam family "Bacterial small subunit ribosomal RNA", at positions 336 to 524 of the family's 1533-position model. Lineage: Bacteria; Pseudomonadati; Pseudomonadota; Gammaproteobacteria; Vibrionales; Vibrionaceae. The record is from RNAcentral.
CUCCUACGGGAGGCAGCAGUGGGGAAUAUUGCACAAUGGGCGAAAGCCUGGUGCAGCCAUGCCGCGUGUAUGAAGAAGGCCUUCGGGUUGUAAAGUACUUCCAGUUGUGAGGAAGGUUUCGUAGUUAAUAGCUGCGUUGCUUGACGUUAGCAACAGAAGAAGCACCGGCUAACUACGUGCCAGCAGCCGCGGUAAU